GCGGCUAUGGUUCAUCGGUAGAACACGUUCUUGCCAAGAAUGAGAGACGGGUUCGAUUCCCGUUAGCCGCU
Molecule: transfer RNA, 71 nt
Filed under: Candidatus Amesiibacteriota bacterium
Lineage: Bacteria; Candidatus Amesiibacteriota
Description: Candidatus Amesbacteria bacterium tRNA-Gly
Rfam family: tRNA
About the family: Transfer RNA (tRNA) molecules are approximately 80 nucleotides in length.
Source: RNAcentral